AGCGAACGCUGGCGGCAGGCCUAACACAUGCAAGUCGAACGAACCUUUCGGGGUUAGUGGCGGACGGGUGAGUAACACGUGGGAACGUGCCUUUAGGUUCGGAAUAACUCAGGGAAACUUGUGCUAAUACCGAAUGUGCCCUUCGGGGGAAAGAUUAAUCGCCUUUAGAGCGGCCCGCGUCUGAUUAGCUAGUUGGUUGAGGUAAUGGCUCACCAAGGCGACGAUCAGUAGCUGGUCUGAGAGGAGGAUCAGCCACAUUGGGACUGAGACACGGCCCAAAAUCCUACGGGAGGCAGCAGUGGGGAAUCUUGCGCAAUGGGCGAAAGCAUGACGCAGCCAUGCCGCGUGAAUGAUGAAGGUCUUAGGAUUGUAAAAUUCUUUCAACGGGGACGAUAAUGACGGUACCCGGAGAAGAAGCCCCGGCUAACUUCGUG
Molecule: ribosomal RNA, 434 nt
Filed under: uncultured bacterium
Lineage: Bacteria
Description: partial 16S ribosomal RNA
Rfam family: Bacterial small subunit ribosomal RNA
Source: RNAcentral